CUUCGGGAAACCGGAGCUAAUACCGGAUAAUAUUUUGAACCGCAUGGUUCAAAAGUGAAAGACGGUCUUGCUGUCACUUAUAGAUGGAUCCGCGCUGCAUUAGCUAGUUGGUAAGGUAACGGCUUACCAAGGCAACGAUGCAUAGCCGACCUGAGAGGGUGAUCGGCCACACUGGAACUGAGACACGGUCCAGACUCCUACGGGAGGCAGCAGUAGGGAAUCUUCCGCAAUGGGCGAAAGCCUGACGGAGCAACGCCGCGUGAGUGAUGAAGGUCUUCGGAUCGUAAAACUCUGUUAUUAGGGAAGAACAUAUGUGUAAGUAACUGUGCACAUCUUGACGGUACCUAAUCAGAAAGCCACGGCUAACUACGUGCCAGCAGCCGCGGUAAUACGUAGGUGGCAAGCGUUAUCCG
RNAcentral lists this ribosomal RNA (413 nucleotides) under Staphylococcus aureus. RNAcentral describes it as "bacterial SSU rRNA". It matches the Rfam family "Bacterial small subunit ribosomal RNA", at positions 147 to 547 of the family's 1533-position model. Lineage: Bacteria; Bacillati; Bacillota; Bacilli; Caryophanales; Staphylococcaceae. The record is from RNAcentral.